This 61-nucleotide transfer RNA is filed under the name Neobacillus cucumis. Its description in RNAcentral is "tRNA-Asn". It matches the Rfam family "tRNA", at positions 9 to 63 of the family's 71-position model. From Rfam's summary of the family: Transfer RNA (tRNA) molecules are approximately 80 nucleotides in length. The record is from RNAcentral. Lineage: Bacteria; Bacillati; Bacillota; Bacilli; Caryophanales; Bacillaceae.
AGCUCAGUGGUAGAGCAAUCGGCUGUUAACCGAUCGGUCGUAGGUUCAAAUCCUCCAAGGC